This 69-nucleotide transfer RNA is filed under the name Dictyocaulus viviparus (bovine lungworm). It matches the Rfam family "tRNA". From Rfam's summary of the family: Transfer RNA (tRNA) molecules are approximately 80 nucleotides in length. Their secondary structure includes four short double-helical elements and three loops (D, anti-codon, and T loops). Further hydrogen bonds mediate the characteristic L-shaped molecular structure. tRNAs have two regions of fundamental functional importance: the anti-codon, which is responsible for specific mRNA codon recognition, and the 3' end, to which the tRNAs corresponding amino acid is attached (by aminoacyl-tRNA synthetases). tRNAs cope with the degeneracy of the genetic code in two manners: having more than one tRNA (with a specific anti-codon) for a particular amino acid; and 'wobble' base-pairing, i.e. permitting non-standard base-pairing at the 3rd anti-codon position. Lineage: Eukaryota; Metazoa; Nematoda; Chromadorea; Rhabditida; Metastrongylidae. The record is from Rfam by way of RNAcentral.
ACUUCAGAGAGAUAGACAAUUUAUCAGACCGGAUAUCUGUAAGUGCGGGUUCGAGUCCCGCCUGAGGUU